RNAcentral lists this long non-coding RNA (849 nucleotides) under Numida meleagris (helmeted guineafowl). RNAcentral describes it as "lncRNA (ENSNMEG00000022818.1)". The record is from RNAcentral. Lineage: Eukaryota; Metazoa; Chordata; Aves; Galliformes; Numididae.
UAAGAAUUCAGACUUUUGUAAAAAUACUAUUAGCCAGUAGAUACCAUUCUUAGAAUGUGUGCUAAGAGAAUAACAUUUUAUUUGUAUUCACGUGUCCUACAGAAAACAGCUAACUUCAAAGCUGGUGGAGCGGUCAUGGGUGAAGCAGACCAGUGAAAUGAUUUGCACCCCUGGGCAGGAGUCAGCAUGAAUUUUCUGCUGGUAAGUCAAUUAGAUAUGAAUUUUUCUGUUACCUGCAUGUGGUCUAAUAACAUUAUGUGCAAGCUCUGAUAAUUAUGAGCUUGGAACACCUUAUUUUCCCAGUUGCUGUGUGUUCUGUUGGUAAUGACUGUGACAGUGGUUCUCAUAGUAUAACAAGCUGAUAUGCCAUAAAAUGUUUAACUCUUGCAGUCAAUACUUUGAGUACCAUACAGUCCUGAGUGGAUGGACUGAGAAUGUAAGCCUCAGCUUUGCUGGGAGAUGUCCAUGGAGUAUAUCUCGAGAAAAUUGACAAGAACUUUUCAGCUGUGGAUAAAUACUACUUCGACAGUGUUUUCAACAUAAUCCUUAUAUAUGUAAGUGUAUCUCUCUUGUGAAUUUUCCUAAAUGCAUAUUUUAAGGAAGAAAACAUGCAACAGCAGAUGCACUGAGGAUAAUUCUGCCAAUUAAAAAGAUAACAGGAGUGCUGCUGUUAACUGAAUAUAGAGCAGUGAGCUAAGGUAGAGAACAACAAUAUUUGACAUAGCUGGUCACAGCUGACAUUUCUGUUCUUGAUCCAGUGAAUCAUCUGAAUCCUCUAAGAACAUUCAUCAUGGAAAUAGUCUGAGACAGAGAAAUAAACUGAGCUCUCUUACAGAAUCUAUUCUUGAC